GAGUUUGAUCAUGGCUCAGAACGUACGCUGGCGGCACGCCUUAUACAUGCAAGUCGAACGAAGUAGCAAUACUUAGUGGCAGACGGGUGAGUAACAUGUAGGUAUCUACCCUUUGGUGAGGAAUAACACGAGGAAACUUGUGCUAAUACCUCAUAAGUCUUUACGGAGAAAGCUUUAUGCGCCGAAGGAUGAGCCUGCACUUGAUUAGUUUGUUGGUGGGGUAAUGGCCUACCAAGACUUUGAUCUAUAGCUGAUCUGAGAGGAUGAUCAGC
This 272-nucleotide ribosomal RNA is filed under the name uncultured Alphaproteobacteria bacterium. RNAcentral describes it as "partial 16S ribosomal RNA". It matches the Rfam family "Bacterial small subunit ribosomal RNA", at positions 9 to 308 of the family's 1533-position model. Lineage: Bacteria; Pseudomonadati; Pseudomonadota; Alphaproteobacteria. The record is from RNAcentral.